Gossypium hirsutum (cotton) is the source of this 144-nucleotide non-coding RNA. Lineage: Eukaryota; Viridiplantae; Streptophyta; Magnoliopsida; Malvales; Malvaceae. The record is from Rfam.
UGUUUAAAAAAUCAUCCAUUUGUUUUGUUAAAAACUAGUGUGGUUAACGGAAUAACUAGAUAGUGACAUGGCGUGUCAUAUGUAUCUCAUGUUGAUGUAUAAGGACCAAUUUUUUAAUAAUAGAAAUAGAUAUAAUUUUUAACA